CAGGCUGUGAUGAUUGGCGCAGGGGUACGGACCUCAGCUGAUCAUGGGAGCUGAGUGUAUGUGUUUCUCCUUCGUCCUGCGUGUGGCAGGAUGACGGCCAGCACUUACACGAGACUGAUGCCUUAAUCUGAGCCUG
Molecule: small nucleolar RNA, 136 nt
Organism: Mesoplodon densirostris (Blainville's beaked whale)
Lineage: Eukaryota; Metazoa; Chordata; Mammalia; Artiodactyla; Ziphiidae
Product: small nucleolar RNA SNORD94
Exons: 1
Source: RefSeq, a predicted model, not a curated record